Candoia aspera is the source of this 1881-nucleotide long non-coding RNA. RefSeq lists it as uncharacterized. NCBI's taxonomy places the organism in Eukaryota, Metazoa, Chordata, Lepidosauria, Squamata, Candoiidae. The transcript is spliced from 3 exons. The record is from RefSeq and is a predicted model, not a curated record.
UCUAUUUGUACUGAUGAAAUACUUUUGCUGAGCUAUUGGAUGCGGUAUUUUGUUCAAUGACCUUGAACUAUGAUAAACUCUUACGUUUCACAUCAACAUGAAGUCCAGAUUGUGCCUUAUGUUAAAUAUAAUGCUGUUAUUGAAGUGACAGAACAAUUUCAAUUAAGUUUGAAGUUAUUUUCAGCAAUUAACUGUGUCACCAUUCAAGUGGAUUGAAGACAAAUAUCUUUGUAACAAGAAUUGAUAGCUGUGGAUGAGCUCCUAGCAUAAAAUAAUAGAGAAUGUAAACUGAUCAGUUCUGAGAGCUGAGAAUGUAAACUGAUCAGUUCUGUGUUUCUGCUGUUACGUUUUUAUGAUCCUUUUCAUAGUAUGUAAAUGUGAACAGACCAAACACAUGAACAACUUUCACUGUGUCUAAUUUGGUCCUAAUCCCCACUGUGCUUUGGAUUUGCCAGUCUGCUGAAAGUUAUCUGCAGCUGGACAAAAGAAAAUGAAUCUUUUAAGGAUCUUCAUGUUAUAAAAGUAGAUUGAAGAGUAAGCCUACAGACAUUCCUGUUAAUAUUCAUAAUUUAAAUUUGGUUUUUUUCUUUCUACGUAUCAGCUCUGUGCUCUAUUUUCUCUCAAUAAUGUACCGGCUGAACAAUGAACUACAUUUAUAUCCUAGAGUAAAUGAAUUCUCCACAUUUUGUCAGACUGGGGCAAAGGGCAUUUAAGUGUUGAAUUAAUUACAUUCUAUUUGAGCUGUAUAUAUUUGCAUGUUGUGUUAAGCACAAGAUCUGAAGCAUUGGUGGGGGUGGGGGUGAGAGGUUCUGUUCUAAUUAGAGUCCUACCACUGAUUCAUUUGAUGUUGAACUUGGCUUUUUUUUGUAUGUGCUUGAACUAAAAACAUCAGAAAUUUGGGGGGCCCUGUAUUUAAAGUAAAUUCAGUAUUACUGUGCUGUUCAACCAGUGUAAAUAGAUGUGUCUCCCGCUCCCAAAGAAUUUACCGUGAAGUAAAACGGGCUGGAGUGGUUGAAUCUAAUAUAUUAAAUUUCAUAACUUAUGUCCUUAGUCCUAAGUUAAUAUUCUAAAAUUGCUCUUCCCUCAGCUAACAAUGAAAUAAGCAAACCUUCAAUUAUGUAAAUGUGAAACUGGUCAGCAUUUAAAAAAACACAAUGAUGGUAUCAAUACAUAAUCAUUUUUUUUCCUCUGAGAAACUGAGUAUUUGCCCACCCCGACACAUUUUAAAUUUGGAGUCUUGGUAAACUUAGCAUAGUUAAAUGAAAACUGGCUUAUUUAAAUGCUUGAGGAUGCAACCAAGGACACAGUUACCUCUAAAUCUUACCAAUAUGAUUAAGCAAGACAUAGUCUUCAACAACUAUUCGUAUGACAGAAUUGGACAUUUCAUCUGCUUUUACAGAAAUAUAAAUUAACUGCAAUUCAGAGUUGAUAAUAUGAUAUGGAACAGAAUGCAAGUACUGAGUCUUUACUAGAUGUUUGGUCACUGUUAUUUGAUAGCAAGUAUUUACAAUCUCAGACCAAGGAGCACUGCGUUCUUAAACAUAAAACUAACAAAUACCAAUUAGGUUGCUCCUGUUUCAGGAAAAAUUUAUAUAUACAUCUGUAAACUAAGCAGAGAGAUAUUGUAUACCAGCAGACAAAUGCAAUUGGAUUAAAGUUUAAAAAAAAUAUUCCUGUAUAAGAUAUGUUAAAUGUAUUUAACAUUACAAAAACCAUACAAAUCUAUAGUCUAAAGGGAACGAUUAUACAAACAGAUACCAUAAAGAAGUAAAAAUAAAAUCAAAUAUUGCAAACAAAUAUCAAUUAAGAGUAUAGUUAUAAAAAAUGAGAAGCUAUGACCAAGUUGCCAUUAUUUGAUAGCAAUAAAUUUGUGCAAAAGAA